UCAGCUGUUGAGCGCUGGUCAAAGAUCUGCAGCAGAAACACAACAGACACACGUGUGUAUCUUCACUGCUGCAGAGGAGAGAGAGAGAGAGCAAUGCCUGAACACAAACACUACAGCAACAUCACUACAAACAAACCCACUGAAACAAAGUCACUUACAGGAUCAGUGAAGUGUUGAGGACUGAAAGCCUGUUGAACAGAAGCAGAGACGUGUGGCCAAACACUGACUGUAAUGAUGAUGAUCAUCUGCUGCUGCACAGGCUGUAAAGUAUAACCCCUGCUGGACACGGCUCCGGAAGCUCCAGGGGGAGACCGAACUGGUAUCCCCCCUUCUUCAGGCGCGCCUCACACUCACUCACCAUUCACUCAUAUCGCAGAGUUCUGGCUGGGAUCAUACCAGCAACCCCUGAAGCCGUGGGGCAGCGCUCUUACCACAGAGCCACAGAUCUCCUGUCUGAACACCUGCUGGAACUGAUGUUUGACUGCAGACCUGUGUGUGAGCUGUUUCAAUAAAACAAGAUACAAAUCA
This is a long non-coding RNA of Danio aesculapii, 528 nucleotides long. RefSeq lists it as uncharacterized. Lineage: Eukaryota; Metazoa; Chordata; Actinopteri; Cypriniformes; Danionidae. The transcript is spliced from 3 exons. The record is from RefSeq and is a predicted model, not a curated record.